This 496-nucleotide ribosomal RNA is filed under the name uncultured bacterium. RNAcentral describes it as "partial 16S ribosomal RNA". It matches the Rfam family "Bacterial small subunit ribosomal RNA", at positions 28 to 506 of the family's 1533-position model. The record is from RNAcentral.
GAUGAACGCUGGCGGCGUGCCUAAUACAUGCAAGUCGAGCGAACAGAUAAGGAGCUUGCUCCUUUGACGUUAGCGGCGGACGGGUGAGUAACACGUGGGUAACCUACCUAUAAGACUGGGAUAACUUCGGGAAACCGGAGCUAAUACCGGAUAAUAUUUCGAACCGCAUGGUUCGAUAGUGAAAGAUGGUUUUGCUAUCACUUAUAGAUGGACCCGCGCCGUAUUAGCUAGUUGGUAAGGUAACGGCUUACCAAGGCGACGAUACGUAGCCGACCUGAGAGGGUGAUCGGCCACACUGGAACUGAGACACGGUCCAGACUCCUACGGGAGGCAGCAGUAGGGUAUCUUCCGCAAUGGGCGAAAGCCUGACGGAGCAACGCCGCGUGAGUGAUGAAGGUCUUCGGAUCGUAAAACUCUGUUAUUAGGGAAGAACAUACGUGUAAGUAACUGUGCACGUCUUGACGGUACCUAAUCAGAAAGCCACGGCUAACUACGU